UACGUAGGGGGCUAGCGUUGUCCGGAAUCAUUGGGCGUAAAGCGCGCGUAGGCGGCCCGGUAAGUCCGCUGUGAAAGUCAAAGGCUCAACCUUUGAAUGUCAGCGGAUACUGCCGGGCUAGAGUCCGGAAGAGGCGAGUGGAACUCCUGGUGUAGCGGUGGAAUGCGCAGAUAUCAGGAAGAACACCAACGGCGAAGGCAGCUCGCUGGGACGGAACUGACGCUAAGGCGCGAAGGCUAGGGGAGCGAACAGG
RNAcentral lists this ribosomal RNA (253 nucleotides) under uncultured bacterium. RNAcentral's name for it is "partial 16S ribosomal RNA". It matches the Rfam family "Bacterial small subunit ribosomal RNA", at positions 524 to 776 of the family's 1533-position model. The record is from RNAcentral.